RNAcentral lists this ribosomal RNA (264 nucleotides) under uncultured archaeon. RNAcentral describes it as "partial 16S ribosomal RNA". It matches the Rfam family "Archaeal small subunit ribosomal RNA", at positions 718 to 982 of the family's 1478-position model. The record is from RNAcentral.
AGUCACUGACAUUAGAUACCCCCGUAGUCCCAGCCGUAAACAAUGUGCGUUAGGUGUGUCGGUAACCACGUGUUACUGAUGCGCCGAAGAGAAAUCGUGAAACGCACCACCUGGGAAGUACGGUCGCAUGGCUGAAACUUAAAGGAAUUGGCGGGGAGCACCACAACAGGUGGAGCCUGCGGUUUAAUUGGAUUCAACGCCGGACAUCUCACCGGAUAAGACAGCUGAAUGAUUGUCAAUCUGAAGGUUUUACAUGACUAGCUG